Molecule: long non-coding RNA, 1360 nt
Organism: Piliocolobus tephrosceles (Ugandan red Colobus)
Lineage: Eukaryota; Metazoa; Chordata; Mammalia; Primates; Cercopithecidae
Exons: 3
Source: RefSeq, a predicted model, not a curated record
CUGGGUGGGCUCACUGUUUGCCCGCCUGUCUGCCCGGCUUCUUCUCUGGUUGGCCUCUGCCUGUGCCCGGGAUCCCACCUCGGCCCCGGCCGCCAAACACACCUAGAGAACAGAGAGAGGGGGAUGCAGCAGGGCCAGGGACCCCAGCUCUGUGAGCCCCGCCUAGGGAGCCGUUUCAGAGAACUUUCUAGCUGGACGAAUGCUUGAGGAAAUCAAAGCUGGAGCUUCAAACAGCAGGAGAGCCAAGGCCAGCAAGAGGAGCUGGCCCUGCGGCCCAUGUGCCGGUACCAGGGACCAGAGGCCAGAGCUGCAGGCAGCAUAGCUCUGGCCCUCCACAGAGCCCGCUCGGAAUCUCAGCCUUGGGCCGGGGAGGUCUGGAGACAGGAGGACUGACCCCAACAGGAACUGGAAUCACUGUCUCCUCUGUAGACCUCAACCCCGUGAAGGUGGGGUCAGGGAUCCAGAUUUAGAGGAUCCAAGAGGUCAGGGCUCUCACCAGCCAGAGGCCACCAGGCCCUGUGGGGACAGAGGCCAGAGGCCAACACUGGCCCAGGCCACCAACCUCCCCUCUCACCAGGGAGGGCCAGCUGUGCCAGGGUGCACGGCCUGGUGGGAGUUACUGCGAGGCUGCUAUCUGCACCCCAUGGCCCCGUGGCUUCCUGCAGAGCAGCCAGAGAAAAACCCCAACUUCCCUAGGUAGGACCCGACCCACUCUCUCAACAACUUUGACCCCAAGUGCUGGGAAGGAGCCAGGCCUGGGACCCCAGAGGCCCCACCCACCCUGAGAUCCCCAAAGUUCCCUGCCUGGAGUACUAUCCCCAUCCCUCCCUCGGACUCACUCCUGACCACCUCGUGAGCCUGCACUCAGAAUUGGCACCUGGGGCCUGCCGGGGCCAGGCUGCCGUGCUGCAAGCCCCCAGGCUGGCACCUGAGCCCGGCACACCAGCAGUGCCCAUGGAUGGAAGACGCAAAGCCCAGGUCCCCCUGAAAACACAAGAGCUGGGGACAGAGAGGUAUGUCCACUGUGGAUGGGAGACCCACCUCGGCCGGCGCCGCCCAUGCCGCGGCCUUUCUGCUGCUUCUGCUGCUGCAGGCCUCCACGGCCGCGGCCCUUGGCCACCACCUCCUCCUUGACCAUGUCAAUGAUCUCGUCAGGAAUGCGCAGGUACUUGAUGGUGCUGCCACGGAUGUAGCACUCGGGCAUCCGCCAGAACUUGUCCCCGUCCUGCGGAGAAGGGGAGCGGGUUUUAUUUAUUUUUGAGAUAGAGUCUCACUCUAGCACCCAGGCUGGACUGCAGUGGCACGAUCUUGGCUCACUGCAACCUCCGCCUUCUGGGAUCAAGCAAUUCUCCCGCCUCAG